This 140-nucleotide non-coding RNA is filed under the name Linnemannia elongata AG-77. RNAcentral's name for it is "Mortierella elongata AG-77 Eukaryotic large subunit ribosomal RNA". It matches the Rfam family "Eukaryotic large subunit ribosomal RNA", at positions 2827 to 2984 of the family's 3401-position model. The record is from Rfam by way of RNAcentral. Lineage: Eukaryota; Fungi; Mortierellomycota; Mortierellomycetes; Mortierellales; Mortierellaceae.
UAACUGGCUUGUGGCAGCCAAGUGUUCAUAGUGACGUUGCUUGUUGAUCCUUCGAAGUCGGAAGCAGAAUUCAAUAACCGUUGGAUUGUUCACCCGCUAAUAGGGAAUGUGAGUCGGGUUUAGACCGAGGCGAGUAGGAC